GUUUUGGCUGAAUUGGUUAGAGUUUUUUCUUUUUCGUGAAAUGACAUAAUUUGUUUGUUUAUUAAAUUUAUGGAGUUUGGUCGCAAAGUUUGAGAAUUGCUCUGAUUCACUCUGUGUGUUUGUUGAGGCUAUGUAUAUGCAACAUUUGAUGGGGUGGAGUGGGUGAUUGUGGUUCUGAUGAAGGAGAUUACAGAAGCUGUGUGGUAGAUGAUGAGGCUGAGGGGCGAUAUUGAGGAGAAGAGAAGAUUGUAAUGGAGGGAGAGCCACUAUGAAUUUAAUUUAGGAUAUUUAGUGCGGGGGCUAUGAAUUUAAUUUAGAGUUAUAGAUUAUAGGAUAAAAUAGUAAAUUUAUAAUAAUUUAU
Molecule: long non-coding RNA, 361 nt
Filed under: Salvia miltiorrhiza (redroot sage)
Lineage: Eukaryota; Viridiplantae; Streptophyta; Magnoliopsida; Lamiales; Lamiaceae
Description: long non-coding RNA (SMIL_LNC010107)
Source: RNAcentral